Molecule: non-coding RNA, 78 nt
Filed under: Rhodomicrobium vannielii
Lineage: Bacteria; Pseudomonadati; Pseudomonadota; Alphaproteobacteria; Hyphomicrobiales; Hyphomicrobiaceae
Also listed under: 1 other name
Source: RNAcentral
GCCUUCGAACGUGGUCCCUUUGCCGGCCGGCUUGCAGCCACGCUAAACAAAUUGCUAAAAGGCCGCUCGCCCUCUCUC